UACAGAGGGUGCGAGCGUUAAUCGGAAUUACUGGGCGUAAAGGGCGCGUAGGCGGUUAGUUAAGUGUGAUGUGAAAGCCCCGGGCUUAACCUGGGAAGUGCAUCGCAAACUGGUUAACUGGAGUAUAUGAGAGGGUGGCGGAAUUUCCGGUGUAGCGGUGAAAUGCGUAGAGAUCGGAAGGAACGUCGAUGGCGAAGGCAGCCACCUGGCAUAAUACUGACGCUGAUGCGCGAAAGCGUGGGGAGCGAACAGG
RNAcentral lists this ribosomal RNA (253 nucleotides) under uncultured bacterium. Its description in RNAcentral is "partial 16S ribosomal RNA". It matches the Rfam family "Bacterial small subunit ribosomal RNA", at positions 524 to 776 of the family's 1533-position model. The record is from RNAcentral.